RNAcentral lists this ribosomal RNA (415 nucleotides) under uncultured bacterium. Its description in RNAcentral is "bacterial SSU rRNA". It matches the Rfam family "Bacterial small subunit ribosomal RNA", at positions 355 to 767 of the family's 1533-position model. The record is from RNAcentral.
UGAGGAAUAUUGGUCAAUGGGCGCGAGCCUGAACCAGCCAAGUCGCGUGAGGGAAGACGGCCCUACGGGUUGUAAACCUCUUUUGCCGGGGAGCAACGCUGCGGACGCGUCCGCAGGUGAGAGUACCCGGAGAAAAAGCAUCGGCUAACUCCGUGCCAGCAGCCGCGGUAAUACGGAGGAUGCGAGCGUUAUCCGGAUUUAUUGGGUUUAAAGGGUGCGUAGGCUGUUUGUCAAGUCAGAGGUGAAAGGCCGCAGCUCAACUGUGGAAUUGCCUUUGAUACUGGCAGGCUUGAAUACUGUUGCCGUGGGAGGAAUGAGUAGUGUAGCGGUGAAAUGCAUAGAUAUUACUCAGAACACCGAUUGCGAAGGCAUCUCACGAAGCAGACAUUGACGCUGAGGCACGAAAGCGUGGGGA